CCUCAUACAAUAGACGGGAGGUACUGUGGUGGUGAGACAGUGAGACAGUAAUUUAGCCCAGUAGUAGUUUAGAAUGAGUGACUGGAAGAGACACACCGACACAUAUAGCCAGCGCAAAUUCUAUUAGAUACAUUUUCUCUGACCGGUCAUUGCGGUUUUAAAUAUACCUCUUCAAUCAACUGCGAAGACUGGGCCAGUUGAUUUAUUUUUUCUCCUCUCUAAACUAAGAUUGGGCAUGACCAUGGGGGCCAGGCUGUGGGUGUAGCCACUGAGACAGCUGGGGGAGAGCGAGAGAGGAGGAAAGGCAAACUAGCACCAGCCAAGCACCCUGCACUCCUCCUGGGAAAGAUGGGGGAGACAGAGGAGGAGAAGGACCAGGCAGGGAAGCUGUUUGAGAACUUCAUCCAGGCCUCCACCUGUAAGGGCACCCUGCAGUCCUUCAACCUCCUGUGCAGGCUGCUGGAUCUAGACCCUCAGGACCAUGAGACAUUCUACUGUAGUCUGAAGACCAGGCUCACCUCCUGGAGGGCCAAAGCCCUCUGGACCAAGCUGGACAAGAGAACCUGCCACAAGGAGUACAAGAAGGGCCAGGCCUGUGUGGGCACCAAGUGCCUUAUCAUCGGGGGAGGCCCAUGUGGCUUGCGGACGGCCAUCGAGCUGGCUCUGCUGGGGGCCAAGGUGGUGGUGAUUGAGAAGAGGGACACCUUCUCCAGGAACAACGUGCUGCACCUGUGGCCCUACACCAUCCACGACCUCAAGGGCCUCGGGGCUAAGAAGUUCUACGGCAAAUUCUGUGCUGGAGCCAUAGACCACAUCAGUAUUCGUCAACUCCAGCUCAUGCUGCUGAAGAUCGCCCUGCUUACAGCUGUGGAAUUCCACGUCAAUGUGGAGUUUGUCAAGCUGCUGGAACCUCCAGAAAACCAGGAGAAUGACGGGCCUGGCUGGAGAGCUGAGAUCAGGCCUGCCGAUCACCCCGUGGCUAAUAUUGACUUUGACGUGGUGGUGGGGGCUGAUGGGAGGAGAAAUACCCUGGAAGGGUUCAAGAGGAAGGAGUUCCGUGGUAAGCUGGCCAUCGCCAUCACGGCCAACUUUGUCAACAGGAACACCACGGCCGAGGCCAAGGUGGAGGAGAUCAGCGGUGUGGCCUUCAUCUUCAACCAGAAGUUCUUCCUGGACCUCAAAGAGGAGACAGGUAUUGACCUGGAGAACAUUGUGUACUACAAGGACAACACACACUACUUUGUCAUGACAGCAAAAAAGCAGAGCCUACUGGACAAGGGGGUCAUCAUUCAUGACUACAUAGACACAGAGAUGCUGCUGAGCAGUGAGAAUGUGAACCAGGAAGCUCUGCUGGGUUAUGCCCGCGAAGCUGCUGACUUUGGCACCAACUACCAGCUUCCCACGCUGGACUUUGCCAUAAAUGCCUGUGGCCAGCCAGACGUGGCCAUGUUUGACUUCACCAGCAUGUAUGCUUCGGAGAACGCAGCGCUAGUCAGAGAAUGCUUCGGACGCCAGCUACUGGUGGCACUGGUUGGGGACAGCUUGUUAGAGCCGUUCUGGCCCAUGGGUACAGGGUGUGCGAGAGGCUUCCUGGCUGCUUUUGACUCAGCCUGGAUGGUGAAAAGGUGGGCUGAGGGCAUGACCCCUCUGGAGGUGCUAGCUGAGAGGGAGAGUCUUUACAGAAUUCUGCCGCAGACAACCACUGAAAACAUUGCCAAAAACUUUGAGCAGUACACCAUUGACCCUGGGACUCGGUAUCCCAACCUCAUCUCUACCUGUGUCAGGCAAAACCAGGUGCGUCACCUGUACAUCAAUGGAGAGCUGCCAGUGAAGUCGUGCUCUCUGGAGCGUAAUGCUACAAUACGUCGCCCUGUGAACCUGGCCAGACGAGAGUCGGAGAUCAGGCCGGGCAGGCUGCUGACGUGGUGUCAGAAACAGACCGAGGGCUACAGGAACGUGAGCGUGACAGACCUGACCACCUCGUGGCAGAGUGGCCUGGCUCUCUGUGCCCUCAUCCACCGCUUCAGAUCCCACCUCAUAGAGUUUGAUUCGCUGAAUGAGGAGGAUUCGGCUAACAACUUCCAGCUGGCAUGUGACCUGGCUGAGCGGGAGUUUGGGAUCCGGCCCUUCACCACUGGGGAGGAGAUGGCUGCUGGUCAGGAACCAGACAAGACCAGAAUGGUCACCUACCUCUCCAAGUUCUACGAGCUGUUCCGCGGCACCCCCCUCCCCGUCUCAGAUUCUAGAGGGGCCGACGAAAACAGUGAAGACUAUCCUUCCAAGGCAGUCAGAAGUAUGAACAAAGUUCUGGUACCAAGAAAAAGGGUACCGAAGGAUGAGAAGAAGCUAGAAGAUACUGACCCAACGUACAAAAGGAGACGAAAAGUCUGCAGUUAUUUGGAAGAGGCAACCAACUUCUCCAGUCAGAGUGCGUCCUGUGUGGGUGAGGGGAGGGAGGUGAAGGAGAACAAGGUCCGCUCCAUGGCCAGCCAGCUCCUGUCCAAGUUUGAGGAGAGCAACCCCAGCUUCACCCUCCGGAGACAGUCUCCGUGUGAUUGGGGUUCUGAGAGGGCCCCUCGGCCACGCUCCAUGGACAUGACUGAGACCCCACGCUUCACCAACCUCAGGCAGCAGACCCCACCCAACCCUCCCCCCAAGACACAGGUAGAGGACUGGAGCAGGCCUGGUCAACAUACUGUAAUACACACGCAUACCCACGCUAAUACACUCUGCAGAACACACACUGUCACUCAGUUUUGAUAUACACUCACUCACAAACCAGUCAUCACCUACCUGGAGUGAGAGUGUUAAAUGCUCCCUGUGGGUUGGAAAUGAAAAAUAGAUUCACAUGAUAAAGGAAAGCAUGGGGCAUAAAUCUCCCUUCUAUUCUCUCCAGCUGUUAAACUACUGGAGCCUGUUUGCUGCAAUUGUUUUUUCAUCAAGCUCACCCUGAGUUGACAGAGAGCCAUAUAACUGCAGCUCACAUGUGCUGUGUGUUUCCAGUUUCAUUCUGCAACCUGUGCCAAAUAUGCAGCUGAGUGCAUCGCUCGGCUACCACCCCAGCCUCCUCCUUAACCCAAGCUCUCGCCACAGCUCCAAGCCCAGCUUCAGUCUCAGCACCAGCCCCAACCCCAGUUCCAGCUCCAACCCAAGCUCCAACCCCCACCCAGCCCAAAUCACACCCUCAGGAAGGUCAGACAGGCUGAUCAGACACGUACUCAGACGCAACCCCAGAUGCAUCCUCAAAAGCCAGAGAGCAUAGAUUACCCUGGCUACUCUCCCUCCUGCCACUCAGCGGUCCUAGCCAUGUCUAGAAUGCUCCAACGCCUUCAGGAGGUGGAGGAAAAGAUCACCAAGAAGAAAGCUCAGGCCCAGAAUGCUAGAGAGUUUCACAAUAAAAGUAUCAAGGAGAAAGCGGUCCACCUGAGAGCACUGUUCUCUGAGGAUGUGACCUCUACGUCCCAGGUGACUAUCUGACCCCUGAACUCUGACCCCUCACCUCUCCCGUCCCUCAGUGUGUUUGUCGUGUUGCACGCUCGGUCUUGUUUGGCAUCACUGCUGCUGCACAGAGUUCAUAAAUCCUCCCUGUGUUGAAAUUCAACAUCCAUCAUCUUCAGAAGCAUGACUUUUAUGGCAAUGUUUUCAUUAGCUGCUCAGAUCUGUAGCAACAGAACACAGCUAGCGCAGGUAAUUUCAGGUUAUUGUAGGACACAGUGUUCUGUUAUACAGAUGUCGAAUCUUAAUUUGAUCCAACUCGUUAAAACAGGAAAAUAAUCCUGCAGCAACAGGAAAUUUGAAUUAUUAUGUGACUUAUAAUUAAUGGACAUUUUUUGUAGGUGUUUUUGUCAGUAUCACUGUGUGUCAUGCUAAAACAUUUGUGAUCAUUCAACAUUUAUAAUUUUCCAUUAGGGCAAAGAAAGUCAGACAUUUUAAAGUGGAAAUUACAAACCUUCGAAAUCUUUUUAAACCUUGAAUACGCUGCGCAGGAAAAUUGUCAGCGACAAAAUAGUGAUCAAAUUAAGAUCCUACAUCUGAAAUUUAAAUCACCUUCACUGUCAGUCAAUAAAUGACUGUUUACGCCGAGGGUUUCAACAAGGCUUUUUUAAAACAAUGUAACGCCCUGUGAAAACACAUCAGGCAAUUCUUUGUUCAAACAGAAAUCCUUCCAUUAAAUGGUUUCUUCUUGUUCCAUUAUGUGAUUCUAUAUUCCCACUGAGACAGACCUGCAGAAGAGAGCUCAGGCUGAAAACUAGGUAGCCUCCUCUCUCAGCUCUGUCUGUGAUGAUAUGUAUGAACAGCACUGGUAAUUCACUUACUCGGUGUGCUCAGCACUGUUGAAAGGUAGCACAGGCUUCUCUGUGCCUCACUGGAAGAGGCUGCAGCUUUAUUACUCACAGGAUCGUCAUCAAGCAAGGUGUUUAGUGCUAGAUUAGUCAUCAUACUGCAAUUUCCAUUACAAGAAAAGGUAUUUCCUUGGUAUUUUAUCAUCAAAAAAGAUACUGCUCACCUUCUUUAAAUGAGUUUCCAUCUCAGUGGAAACCAGGGUAAGCUGGAGGAGGUUGGAGUUUAGGUAAAACUAUGAUUUGAUAGUGCCACGGAAUACCUUUGCUUAAAGCCUAUCCCCCUGUGCACGCCAGUUCUCAUUGUAACUUCUAUCAAAUUACUAACACUCAAAGCUCUCCUUUAACAAUCCUCUCCCUCUCUUUUCAUUUGCAAAUCUCCCCUGUCCCAUUCCUCACCUAGUCUGAUUCUGAAAAACAGGCCAUUCCCUCAGUGUCUGAUCCCAUCCUCCCUAACCCCAGUCCAGAAGUCACCUCAUUACACCUUUACCCAGAUAUCACCCUUUCUGCCUUCUCACCUCCUCAUCCCUAUUCCUCAUCCUCAUCCUGUCUACUACAACCUCAGGUAAAAAAUAACCACAUCCAUGUCUGUCUCACUGUCUUGUAUGUGUCCCUAUCACUGUGUGUCAUACUACAACCUUUGUGAUCAUUUAACAUUUAUCAUGAAGAAAUACACAUUUUAUCUAUAUCACUCUGAGUUUCCAUUUCAAUGGAAUGCAGUAUCAUGGAUUACCAGGCACUUUAGGCUUGAGGCCCAAACCACUAAGCAUGCAAACUCUAAUUUAACUCCCAUCUGAUGCUCAUAAUAUCUUCCUCUCUUUGACUUUCCCAUUCCCACACUAGUUUUGAUCUGCUGGACAGAGUCAAACCAUUCCCUCACCUCACAUCCACCCUGCUCCCCGUCCUAAAAUCUCUUCAUCACUACUUUGUCCAGAAAUCACCCUUUCUACACCCCCCCCCCCCCUCAUACCAAUUCUCCAUCCUCCUCUUCCUCCUCUUCCUGUCUACUUCAACAUCAGGUAUAAAUAACCACAUCCAUGUCUGUGUUUCAGCAUGUCAAAUCCAAUCAAAUCAAAUUGUAUUUGUCACAUGCGCCGAUUACAACAGGUACAGUGAAAUGCUUACUGUGUCCCCAUCGUUGUGUGUCAUGCUAAAACCUUUGUGGUCAUUCAAUAUUCAUCAUGCAGAGAUAUUGCACAUCUUUAAUUUAUAGCACUAAAACUGAGUUGACGUCAAAAUGGAAUGUAGUGUUCUUGAAUUGAGACUAAUCAGGUUGGGGCUUGGUCAAUAGGACGGUAGAGUGCCAUGGAAUACCAGGUACUGUAGGCCAUCAAACUGAGCAUGCCAAAUGUCAUUUAACCUAUCUGAUUCUCAAGUCUCUCUUUUAACAAUCCUCUCCCUCUUUGACUUUCCAUUCCUCUGUUUCCCAUUCCCACCCUAGCCUGGAUCUGCUGAACAGACCAUUCCCUCUCCUCCCAUACUCCCUGCUCCCACUCCUAAAGUCACUUCCCUCCUUUGUCCAGAAAUCACCCUUUCUAUCUUCACACUCUCUCAAACCGUGUCUUCACCCUCAUCCAUUCUACUCCAACUCAAGGUGAAAACAAGCACAUCCAUUUCUCACCAUCUGUCUGUCAUGCUUGUCAUGUCGUGCUUCUACACCUGCAUUCUAGCUGUUUGGGGUUUUAGGCUGGGUUUCUGUACAGCACUUCGAGAUAUUAUCUGAUGUACGAAGGGCUAUAUAAAAUAAAAUUGAUUGAUUGAUUGAUUGAUGAUGAAACCCAUAUCCCCUAAUGGCAGAGCAAACAUUAUACUGUUAUUUUGAUGCACUCAUCUAUCCCUUAUCUGUCACUGAACUGUUCAACUAAGUUUUCUUCUCUGUUGCCUCUAAUUCCUUCAUUCUUCAUGGAAAACCAAAGACCAGUCAAUCUGGGGCACUAGAUAUGCAGCUUUGUAUGAAAGAAAUGCAAAGAGAUCCCUUGAAUGAGUCACAUGUGGUGAGUGACUCUUGUGUGCCUCCAAACCAUAGCACUAUUUAUGGCCACAUCAUUUCUAUAUGCAGAGCCUGCUGCUUCUUAGAGAAACCCCAAAUGAUGUGCUGUCUGUUUGAUUUUAAACAUGAUGUCAUCUGGAUAAUUUUAUAUAUUUUAGAAGUAUAUAUUUGUUUAACUUCUAGUCUAAUUUGCAUGUAACUUACAGCUGUAGUUAUUAUCAUCACAGUCAUGUUGCUGUUUCAGUGUCACAGCAGUGGCUCCACAUAUGUAUCCCAACAACAACGCACUGCAAUACUACAACCAAAGCUGUUUUUAAUAACGUCAAACAGGUAUUUUGCCCCCAGUGCCACAUGCCUGCUAAAGUAACUUGUACUACCCUCUAAAUUACAAAGGACACAUGUAGACACAAAGGUCUUGCAUGCAAGAAGCAUGUGAGGUGUUUUUUAGCUACUCUGGGGCCUCUCAUGCUAAGGUUGAAUACAUUUUUGUGGUGUUGCACUUUGUGAGUUAGACUGCCCCUCCCUGUUCCCAGAUUUCUGAUCAGUUUGAGUCAGCGCCGUGCAGUCAGUCUAGAGUACAAUCUGAAGCAUCCAGACAGGCUCACUAGUUAACCAUAAUGAGAAAACAUUCAUGAAAAUCCUCACCUCUUCCCUCCUCUCUUAUUUUGAUGAAAGAACUUGACUAUUUUCCCCAACAGCGGCCUUAGUCAGAGAACAAAGUAGUCAAAUCAUCUAUCUGUCUAUCUGUCCUAACUUCCUCCAGUCUUUUCCUCCUUGCUGCGUGUCAGCGGACGGUGGG
RNA transcript from Salvelinus fontinalis (brook trout), 7129 nucleotides. It is a transcript of the gene named F-actin-monooxygenase mical2b-like, with no coding region annotated. The record is from RefSeq and is a predicted model, not a curated record. Lineage: Eukaryota; Metazoa; Chordata; Actinopteri; Salmoniformes; Salmonidae. The transcript is spliced from 18 exons.